GACGAACGCUGGCGGCGUGCUUAACACAUGCAAGUCGAACGGAAAGUCCCUGCUUUUGUGUGGUUCUCGAGUGGCGAACGGGUGAGUAACACGUGAGUAACCUCCCCUUGACUUUGGGAUAACUUCAGGAAACUGGGGCUAAUACCGGAUAGGAGCUCCUGCUGCAUGGUGGUGGUUGGAAAGUUUCGGCGGUUGGGGAUGGACUCGCGGCUUAUCAGCUUGUUGGUGGGGUAGUGGCUUACCAAGGCUUUGACGGGUAGCCGGCCUGAGAGGGUGACCGGCGACAUUGGGCCUGCGAUACGGAGCAGAAUCGUACGGGAGGCAGCAGUGGGGAAUAUUGCAGAAUGGGCGGACGCCUGAUGCAGAAACGCCGGGUGCGGGAUGACGGCCUUCGGGUUGUAAAACGCUUUCGCCUGUGACGAAGCGUGAGUGACGGUAAUGGGUAAAGAAGCACCGGCUAACUACGUG
This 468-nucleotide ribosomal RNA is filed under the name uncultured bacterium. Its description in RNAcentral is "partial 16S ribosomal RNA". It matches the Rfam family "Bacterial small subunit ribosomal RNA", at positions 28 to 507 of the family's 1533-position model. The record is from RNAcentral.